GACGAACGCUGGCGGCGUGCUUAACACAUGCAAGUCGAACGGAAAGGCCUCUUUCGGGGGGUACUCGAGUGGCGAACGGGUGAGUAACACGUGAGUAACCUGCCCUUGACUUUGGGAUAACUUCAGGAAACUGGGGCUAAUACCGGAUAGGAGCUCCUGCUGCAUGGUGGGGGUUGGAAAGUUUCGGCGGUUGGGGAUGGACUCGCGGCUUAUCAGCUUGUUGGUGGGGUAGUGGCUUACCAAGGCUUUGACGGGUAGCCGGCCUGAGAGGGUGACCGGCCACAGUGGGACUGAGAUACGGCCCAGACUCCUACGGGAGGCAGCAGUGGGGAAUAUUGCACAAGGGGUGGAAGCCUGAUGCAGCAACGCCGUGUGCGGGAUGACGGCCUUCGGGUUGUAAACCGCUUUCGCUCAUGACGAAGCUUUGUGUGACGGUAGUGGGUAAAGAAGCACCGGCUAACUACGUG
This 467-nucleotide ribosomal RNA is filed under the name uncultured bacterium. RNAcentral describes it as "partial 16S ribosomal RNA". It matches the Rfam family "Bacterial small subunit ribosomal RNA", at positions 28 to 507 of the family's 1533-position model. The record is from RNAcentral.